RNAcentral lists this unclassified non-coding RNA (364 nucleotides) under Hevea brasiliensis (rubber tree). The record is from RNAcentral. Lineage: Eukaryota; Viridiplantae; Streptophyta; Magnoliopsida; Malpighiales; Euphorbiaceae.
UGCUGCAGCCCUUCACUUACACCAAGUAUCAGAUUGUGCAUUGCUUACUUAAGUUCUCUCCUAUUAUGACUAAUGUUUACAACAACAAAUGAGCAUACACGGACUUCAAGUUUUCAGCACCAACAUGAAGAACCAGGUAGUGUAUUUCAUCUGAUGAUUGAGCCUUCCAAGGAGCCUGGGCUAACUAUCAGUAGCAAUUAUUGAAGCAAGAAAAGAUGCCCCUCGAUUUGUCUUCCGACCUCGACUUUGGUGUUUCGCCCGAGUCAUCACGAAUGGCCAUCAAUGAACUCGUUCCAGGCGACUCAGGUGGCAGAAUCACAUUUUCCGAACUAAACACACGUUGCGGAACUGCAGAUUCAAUAGG